AACGAACGCUGGCGGCAUGCCUAACACAUGCAAGUCGAACGAGACCUUCGGGUCUAGUGGCGCACGGGUGCGUAACGCGUGGGAACCUGCCCUUAGGUUCGGAAUAACUCCCCGAAAGGGGUGCUAAUACCGGAUAAUGUCUUCGGACCAAAGAUUUAUCGCCUUUGGAUGGGCCCGCGUUGGAUUAGCUAGUUGGUAGGGUAAAAGCCUACCAAGGCGACGAUCCAUAGCUGGUCUGAGAGGAUGAUCAGCCACACUGGGACUGAGACACGGCCCAGACUCCUACGGGUGGCAGCAGUGGGGAAUAUUGGACACUGGGCGAAAGCCUGAUCCAGCAAUGCCGCGUGAGUGAUGAAGGCCUUAGGGUUGUAAAGCUCUUUUACCCGGGAUGAUAAUGACAGUACCGGGCGAAUAAGCUCCGGCUAACUCCGUG
This 433-nucleotide ribosomal RNA is filed under the name uncultured bacterium. Its description in RNAcentral is "partial 16S ribosomal RNA". It matches the Rfam family "Bacterial small subunit ribosomal RNA", at positions 29 to 507 of the family's 1533-position model. The record is from RNAcentral.